AUAAAAGUGACGCGGAACAAGAAGGUAGUAUAGCUCAUGGCGCCUUCUUCUUCUUCUUCCGUCGCUCGCAGCAUCGCCAUCCUCGCUCUCAUAUGCUCUGCGUUGGCAUGCUCCGCGGCGGCACAAGUUGCUCAGGGCGGAAGCCGUGAGCCAGGUCGUCCUCCCUCGCCACACUUCCCGUCGCCGAGGCGGCCGGGGCAGGCACCGCUCACUCCACCGCCGCCGCCAUCACCGAAAAAGAGGAGGGCGUUCCCACCUCACCGGAAGACACUACAGGUUGCUGGUGGCUAGCUCUGAAUUGAAGAUGAUGUCGACGUGUUAUGUCUUGGUGUAUCAAUGCGUGCACCUGAUGUUAUUAAUAAGGCCUGGACCUAAUAUUUUUACUUCUUCUGUUC
Molecule: long non-coding RNA, 395 nt
Organism: Triticum aestivum (bread wheat)
Lineage: Eukaryota; Viridiplantae; Streptophyta; Magnoliopsida; Poales; Poaceae
Exons: 2
Source: RefSeq, a predicted model, not a curated record